RNAcentral lists this ribosomal RNA (483 nucleotides) under uncultured bacterium. RNAcentral's name for it is "partial 16S ribosomal RNA". It matches the Rfam family "Bacterial small subunit ribosomal RNA", at positions 28 to 507 of the family's 1533-position model. The record is from RNAcentral.
GACGAACGCUGGCGGCGUGCUUAACACAUGCAAGUCGAACGGGUCUGCCCUGUUUUUUGCGGGGUGGGUCAGUGGCGAACGGGUGAGUAACCCGUGAGUAACCUGCCCCUCACUUCUGGAUAACCGCUUGAAAGGGUGGCUAAUCCGGGGUGUUCUGGCUGUGCCGCAUGGUGUGGCUGGGAAAGAUUCCCUUUUGUGGUGUUUUGGUGGGGGAUGGGCUCGCGGCCUAUCAGCUUGUUGGUGGGGUGAUGGCCUGCCAAGGCUUUGACGGGUGGCCGGGCUGAGAGGGUGAGAGGCCACAGUGGGACUGAGAUAGGGCGGAGACUGGGGGGGGAGGCAGAAGUGGGGAAGAGUGCAGAAUGGGCGGAAGCCGGAGGGAGAAACGCCGCGUGGGGGAUGAAGGCUUUCGGGUGGUAAAAGGCGUUCGCCUGUGUGGAAGGGUGGGUGAGGGUAAUGGGUAAAGAAGCACCGGCUAACUACGUG